This 560-nucleotide ribosomal RNA is filed under the name uncultured bacterium. Its description in RNAcentral is "partial 16S ribosomal RNA". It matches the Rfam family "Bacterial small subunit ribosomal RNA", at positions 355 to 1375 of the family's 1533-position model. The record is from RNAcentral.
UGGGGAAUAUUGGACAAUGGGCGCAAGCCUGAUCCAGCCAUGCCGCGUGAGUGAUGAAGGCCUCAGGGUUGUAAAGCUCUUUCGGCGGGGACGAUAAUGACGGUACCCGCAGAAGAAGCCCCGGCUAACUUCGUGCCAGCAGCCGCGGUAAUACGAAGGGGGCUAGCGUUGCUCGGAAUCACUGGGCGUAAAGGGCGCGUAGGCGGACAUUUAAGUCGGGGGUGAAAGCCCAGGGCUCAACCCUGGAAUUGCCUCCGAUACUGGGUGUCUCGAGACCGGAAGAGGUGAGUGGAACUGCGAGUGUAGAGGUGAAAUUCGUAGAUAUUCGCAAGAACACCAGUGGCGAAGGCGGCUCACUGGUCCGGUUCUGACGCUGAGGCGCGAAAGCGUGGGGAGCAAACAGGAUUAGAUACCCUGGUAGUCCACGCCGUAAACGAUGGAUGCUAGCCGUUGGCAGGCUUGCCUGUCAGUGGCGCAGCUAACGCUUUAAGCAUCCCGCCUGGGGAGUACGGCCGCAAGGUUAAAACUUAAAGGAAUUGACGGGGUCAUAGCUGUUUCCU